Molecule: ribosomal RNA, 85 nt
Filed under: Mariprofundus sp.
Lineage: Bacteria; Pseudomonadati; Pseudomonadota; Candidatius Mariprofundia; Mariprofundales; Mariprofundaceae
Source: RNAcentral
GAUCCCAUCCCGAACUCAGAAGCUAAGCUCUUUUGCGCCGAUGGUACUGUAGCGUUCGCUACGGGAGAGUAGGUCGAUGCCAGGA